CCCUUAGAUGUUCUGGGCUGCACGCGCGCUACACUGAAGCUAUCAACACGUUUUCCCUCCCUGAGAAGGGCGGGUAACCUUUUGAAUCAGCUUCGUGGUAGGGAUCGGGGCUUGCAAUUGUUCCCCGUGAACCAGGAAUUCCUAGUAGACGCGAGUCAUAAGCUCGCAUCGAUUAAGUCCCUGCCCUUUGUACACACCGCCCGUCGCUACUACCGAUUGAACGUUUUAGUGAGGCAUUUGGACCGACGCAUCUCAGUUUAACCGCUGGUUUGUGUUGGAAAGACUUCCAAACUUGAGCGUUUAGAGGAAGUAAAAGGCGUAACA
This 324-nucleotide ribosomal RNA is filed under the name uncultured eukaryote. RNAcentral's name for it is "partial 18S ribosomal RNA". It matches the Rfam family "Eukaryotic small subunit ribosomal RNA", at positions 1470 to 1796 of the family's 1831-position model. The record is from RNAcentral.